Molecule: ribosomal RNA, 91 nt
Filed under: Shewanella piezotolerans WP3
Lineage: Bacteria; Pseudomonadati; Pseudomonadota; Gammaproteobacteria; Alteromonadales; Shewanellaceae
Source: RNAcentral
CUGUGGUCCCACCUGAUCCCAUUCCGAACUCAGAAGUGAAACACAGUAUCGCCGAUGGUAGUGUGGGGUUUCCCCAUGUGAGAGUAGGUCA